AAAAAGGGCGUGCCAUGAUGCCUUCUCUAGGGAGGGUUGAUAUGGCGGGAGUCUUGGUUUACUCCUGCGGUAUGGCAAUCAAGACAUAUCGAGCGCAUAAUUUUUUGAUUUGGCGGCUCGCAACAGGCUUCGCUCAAGCCGGGGCCGCCUU
This 151-nucleotide small nuclear RNA is filed under the name Parasitella parasitica. RNAcentral describes it as "U11 spliceosomal RNA". It matches the Rfam family "U11 spliceosomal RNA". Lineage: Eukaryota; Fungi; Mucoromycota; Mucoromycetes; Mucorales; Mucoraceae. The record is from Rfam by way of RNAcentral.